Molecule: long non-coding RNA, 2519 nt
Organism: Perca fluviatilis (European perch)
Lineage: Eukaryota; Metazoa; Chordata; Actinopteri; Perciformes; Percidae
Exons: 2
Source: RefSeq, a predicted model, not a curated record
GUGGAUACCUCAGAGCCAUCAUCCGCUUCUUUGCCAAAGAGUUGCAUGAUACAUGAACGGAACUGAUGAGGAAAAAAUAAAACGGCUACCUGACUCGCACAUUUGACAAGAACUCCAUGUCGGACAAGGACUGCACAUCAAGAAGAGGAUGGAUCCUGAAACUAAAGAAAUCUGUAAACUUUUCUUCUUUUUUCCUUUAUUUCCCAAUAUGUCUUAAAUAAUAUUAGUGCAUAACUGAAUUUCUAUUAUUGUUUACGAAGUAAUACUGAUAAGUAAUGUCUUUGGGGAGAGUGUUUUGCUUUCUGUAUCUUAAUAUAUAUUUACAUGGAUGCUGUGAUGUUUCGAUAGGUAGGUCUGGAAUAAUGGACUUAUUGCCAUUGUGGUCCUUAUAAGGGCAGGGGGAGAGGAGUGUAGGUGUAGGUGUAGUGAGGUAGUGUUUUGAGGCCGUAAGGGCCGGUCUGAUAAUAGUUAUACAUUGCAAGUUCUUAGCAACACCAUCCGGUGGCUGCCCGUUGGUCAAACUGUGCAGCCUCCGCUCAACCCGUACGGCGGGCCGCAGCAGCCACUUAUUUCAAUACCUACUUAAACACAGGCUAAUCAGAAAGCACUAACGAAAUGCUGAUCACAACCAUGUCUAGGAUUUUUAGAAAUAUAGAGGCGAUCAGUGAGCGGCCCCUCCCCAAAUGGCCUAGCCCUGGUCGGCCUAUGACGUAAAGCCAUCGGACCUCUUUUUUUUCCUCGUCACGUUUGGAAGUGUGGUAGCCUAAAGUUAACAGACAGUGUGUGAGUCUAAUGAUGGAAAGCCAAAAAAGAAAAGGGAAAGGUAGCCCUAAGAAGGUCAGACUCAAAAGGAAAAAAAUAUUAUGGAGGAGGAGGCAGCGAAAUGCUCCAAAAUAACGGACAUGUUCCGGGCAACAGUAAAGAUACUACAGGUGCAAUAAGAUAACUUUGCUAAGCACCUACACUCACCUAAAGGAUUAUGAGGAACGCCUGUUAAAUUGAUCGUUAAUGCAAUUAUCUAAUCAACCAAUCGGCAGCUGCUUUAAUGCAUUUAGGGGUGUGCACCUAAUGUCACAGCUAAGCACAGAUGGGAAUUAGCACCAGCUACCAGCCAGCCAAAAGCUUGUGAAAUUUGAAAGUAGUUUGUGGUAAAUAGCAGGUAAAACACAUUAUUAAAACACAAAUAUUGCCUUAUGAUAACAUAAUGACUAUUGAAACGAAUUGGAAGUCAAUAAUGACUAAUCCAAUGCUGAAAUUAAUGUUCGAAUUUUUUUUAUUAAUGUUUUGGCCAACUUAAGCAACAUCUCCCUUCUCACAUGUAACAACGAAAUGCUUUUGUCACGAUUUUCUAUUUGAUUUUAUUGGUUUGCACACAUUCAUAGAAAACAAUACAUCACAAACAUGCCCGGAUUAUCCAUAAGGGCACUUGGGCCAGUGCCCAGGGGCACCAACCAUUCACAACCAGUGGGGGGGGCACCACAUGACACAAGCUUUAACAAUGUUUUCUGUAAAUUGUUAUAUUAUUCAAUUGAAAUUGUUGAAAGACCAUACAUUACUCAUUUAUGAACACUAAUUUAUUAAUAAUAAUAAUAAUAAUAAUAAUAAUAAUAAUAAUAAUAAUAAAUAAAUAAAUCAAUAUUACAUGACAACUAUCACUCCCCUCCCCAAUCUGUCAGAGUAGAGUUGGUCCACAAGUACCUGCAAAUGUAUCAUCUGAGGGAUGGGGGGGGGGGGUUAACAAUAAUCAAAAGUGGACAGUUUAACCCCCCCAGUUUAUCAUAAUGAUGAAUGUAAUAAACAAUGAUAAGUGGUUGGCUUUCUUGAUUCAAUGUAAUUGGCAAGCAAAUAAAACCAUUUUUCACACAAACCCCCCCACCUAUGGGUGAGACUUGGUUGCGCCCAACCCUUCUCGUAUUUCAGCACGGUGCGCUUUGUGAGUUAAUUCAGUAAGCAGAGAAGUAUAAAAGACCGGUCCGCUGACAGUCUGCGCUUCUUUUCCUAGAACUCGUAUUUCUUUCAGAAGACUUUGUGCAAUAUAUCCAUAUUCUUAGAUCUAAUAGGCCUAUUGAUAAUCUUUUGUCUAUAUCUUAUUCGUUAGCUGUGAUGCUAAAGCAGUUUUACCUUUCCCAUGAUGCUUUUGAAAGUUUUGCCCAAUCAGAGGAGUUGCUUUCAGGGCCCGUGAAAUAAAGUCGGAAAAAUACAGAUUUGACCGACCCACAAUGCUGCAAUAUAUAGUAUUGAUUUUGGCUUUUUGAAUUGAUAGACAUUUUGAAUAAGUUAGUAAAUUACAUUUGAGAAAUCCCCUUGAUUAUGUCUGAUGUUCUUGGCAGGGGGAAAGCAAUAGUUGGUUUCUCUUGGCAUAAUGAAAAUGCUUUGUUUUUUUUUGCUUGACUGCUGGGCUGAUGUACUGAUGUGUAUUGAUUUUUACAUUUUGAAUUGAGACAUUUGAAUAUAGUGCUCACUGCUCAUAUGCCUACAUGUAUGUAGUUGGACAAGUUAGUAAAUUACAUUUGAGAAAU